Molecule: ribosomal RNA, 520 nt
Filed under: uncultured Archaeospora
Lineage: Eukaryota; Fungi; Glomeromycota; Glomeromycetes; Archaeosporales; Archaeosporaceae
Description: SSU rRNA
Rfam family: Eukaryotic small subunit ribosomal RNA
Source: RNAcentral
AGCAGCCGCGGUAAUUCCAGCUCCAAUAGCGUAUAUUAAAGUUGUUGCAGUUAAAAAGCUCGUAGUUGAAUUUUAGGCCUGGCCGGGCGGUCCGUCUUUGGCGAGUACUGUCCUGUGUCGGGUCUUCCUUCUGGUAAACCUGCAUGUCCUUUAUUGGGUGUGCUGGGGAGCCAGGACCAUUACCUUGAAAAAAUUAGAGUGUUUAAAGCGGGCUUUUGCUUGAAUAGAUUAGCAUGGAAUAAUAGAAUAGGACGUUGUGGUUCUAUUUUGUUGGUUUCUAGGACCACCGUAAUGAUUAAUAGGGAUAGUUGGGGGCAUUAGUAUUCAAUUGUCAGAGGUGAAAUUCUUGGAUUUAUUGAAGACUAACUAUUGCGAAAGCAUUUGCCAAGGAUGUUUUCAUUAAUCAAGAACGAAAGUUAGGGGAUCGAAGACGAUCAGAUACCGUCGUAGUCUUAACCAUAAACUAUGCCGACUAGGAAUCGGGCGACGUUAUUUCAUGACUCGCUCGGCGCCUUAUGGG